Molecule: long non-coding RNA, 1299 nt
Filed under: Fukomys damarensis (Damara mole-rat)
Lineage: Eukaryota; Metazoa; Chordata; Mammalia; Rodentia; Bathyergidae
Description: lncRNA (ENSFDAG00000033596.1)
Source: RNAcentral
GCAUUUAAUUGCUUUAAAUGAAAAUGUUGAUCAACAUUUGAAGAAGGUUUCAGAGACUAAAACGUGUCCCCUCAAAAGGUACAUGUUGAAGGCUUCACCCAGUGCCUUGGAGUGUGACUGUAUUCGAAGGCACAGUUCAGUUCAGCUGAAGCUGUUGGGGUGGCCCCUGUUGAAAGGAGCAGCCUUCUAAGAAGAGGAAGUUUGGACACAGAGAGACACAGGCAAGCAGGGACGACAACACAAGGACGCCAAGGGAAGGAGUCAAACCAAGGUGACAUGAGAAUGGCCUUGGACUGCUGCAAAGCUGGGCCAAAGCUUGGCAUGGCUGGCUUUUCUUCACUUGUCUUCAUGCCGAUCCCAGAGAAUUCACAGUCCCUUGGGGAAGACCAUUCAGUGGAGAAAGAAUAGUGUCUUCAACAACUGAUGCUGAGACCACUGGGUUUCUACAUGCAAAAUAAUGAAGUCGAGCUCCUACGUCACUUCAUGUACAAAAAUUAUCUAGAAACAGAGUAACAACUUUAAAAUAACAACCAAAAUCCAAUGUGAAAUAGGAAGAAAAAGGAUGAAGAUGUAGGGGAAGUGGGAAGGGUAGGGGAAAGGAAAUAAGGGAAAAGGAAAAAAUGGAAACAAAGUCUUUGUAAAUAGGGGAGCGGGGAGGGAGUGAAGGGAGGGCAGCAGUAAGGGGGAAAAUGAGAACCAAGACCUGUUGUGUAAGGGUACAAGAUCCCAAUGAUGAAUGCAACUGUACUGUAUACCUAAAAUGUACCAAUAAAUUCAAUAAAAAAAAGAAACAAAAUCAUAAAACUCUUAGCAGAAAACUAAAGUAAAUCAUGAUAUCAGAUUUGGCAAUCAAUUCUUAGUUUCAAAACCUAAGUAUGAGCAACAAAAGAAAAAAGUAAUAAAUUGGACUUCGUCAAAGUUAGGAACUUCUGUGCACUAAAAGACUACUAAUAAAGUCAAAAGAUAACCUAUUUGUGGAAGAAAACAUUUGCAUUGAGAAAGCAUUUUAAACCAUAUAUAGAAUAGGGGACUAGUAUCUAAAAUAUACAAACUGACUUCGAUUUAUGAUUAUUAAAUUAAGUUAUUUUAAGAGGGCCACUUGAGAUUUCUUUGGCUUUCCAAAGGUACGAUAAAAAUUUGCAUUCAGUAGAACCAUACUUCAAAAUUUGAAUUUUGAUUCUUUUUUUAGAGAGAGAGAGAAAAAAAAAUAUAUACCAUAUGACCCUCUCUGGCUGUGCUGGACAGCAACAGGAACUCCUUGACAGCAAGAUGAUCAUGAAGGUAGGCAGCUGAUCUUUC